This 493-nucleotide ribosomal RNA is filed under the name uncultured bacterium. RNAcentral describes it as "partial 16S ribosomal RNA". It matches the Rfam family "Bacterial small subunit ribosomal RNA", at positions 29 to 507 of the family's 1533-position model. The record is from RNAcentral.
ACGAACGCUGGCGGCGUGCUUCACACAUGCAAGUCGAACGGAAAGGCCUGUCCUUCCUUGUGUUGGACGGGUACUCGAGUGGCGAACGGGUGAGUAACACGUGAGUGAUCUGCCCCCAACUUGGGUAUAAGCCUGGGAAACUGGGUCUAAUUCCCGAUAGGACUGCAGGGUGGUGCCUGUGGUGGAAAACGAUUUUCUAGUGGUUGGGGAUGAGCUCGCGGCCUAUCAGCUUGUUGGUGGGGUAAUGGCCUACCAAGGCGGCGACGGGUAGCCGGCCUGAGAGGGUGGACGGCCACAUUGGGACUGAGAUACGGCCCAGACUCCUACGGGAGGCAGCAGUGGGGAAUAUUGCACAAUGGGCGGAAGCCUGAUGCAGCGACGCCGCGUGGGGGAUGACGGCCUUCGGGUGGUAAACUCCUUUCGACCGCGAGGAAGCCGCCUGGUUGGAAGGGUGGUGACGGUAGUGGUAGAAGAAGCACCGGCUAACUACGUG